AUUGAACGCUGGCGGCAGGCUUAACACAUGCAAGUCGAGCGGAGAUGAGGUGCUUGCACCUUAUCUUAGCGGCGGACGGGUGAGUAAUGCUUAGGAAUCUGCCUAUUAGUGGGGGACAACAUUCCGAAAGGAAUGCUAAUACCGCAUACGUCCUACGGGAGAAAGCAGGGGAUCUUCGGACCUUGCGCUAAUAGAUGAGCCUAAGUCGGAUUAGCUAGUUGGGGGGGUAAUGGCCUACCAAGGCGACGAUCUGUAGCGGGUCUGAGAGGAUGAUCCGCCACACGGGGACUGAGACACGGCCCAGACUCCUACGGGAGGCAGCAGUGGGGAAUAUUGGACAAUGGGGGGAACCCUGAUCCAGCCAUGCCGCGUGUGUGAAGAAGGCCUUAUGGUUGUAAAGCACUUUAAGCGAGGAGGAGGCUACUGAGACUAAUACUCUUGGAUAGUGGACGUUACUCGCAGAAUAAGCACCGGCUAACUCUGUGCCAGCCGCCGCCGUAA
This 501-nucleotide ribosomal RNA is filed under the name uncultured bacterium. RNAcentral's name for it is "partial 16S ribosomal RNA". It matches the Rfam family "Bacterial small subunit ribosomal RNA", at positions 30 to 523 of the family's 1533-position model. The record is from RNAcentral.